AUUCAGGUUCUGGUGACGACAAUGGUAAAUCAAAUGAGCCGCAGAAUGGCAAGUCAAGUGCUAUAGAAGGAAGUGAUGCUGCUGUGGUGGAUACGGUUGUCAAUGCCAGUUCGGGUUCUGGAUGUCGAUCNUGUCGAUCAAUCGAGCAACAUGAUCGUGAGUCAAGAAAUGAAUCGAAAGUGAACUGUGCUGCUUAUAGUGGUCAUACUAUUACUCCGGGGCCAGAAACUAAUCCCAAUGAGCAACACAUGCCCAAUGCAGAACCUGUCCAAAGCUAAUUGAAACAUAUUUUUUUUUGGGAGAUGGGAAAGCACAUCCAGCUAUGUAAAUUAUUAUAAUAGAUCAAAUAUAUCUUUACAGAUGUGUAGGGUCUCAGAGAUCUAAUGUAUAACAAACUUU
RNAcentral lists this unclassified non-coding RNA (399 nucleotides) under Hevea brasiliensis (rubber tree). Lineage: Eukaryota; Viridiplantae; Streptophyta; Magnoliopsida; Malpighiales; Euphorbiaceae. The record is from RNAcentral.